GUGGGGAAUUUUGGACAAUGGGGGCAACCCUGAUCCAGCCAUUCCGCGUGAGUGAAGAAGGCCUUCGGGUUGUAAAGCUCUUUCGGCAGGAACGAAACGGUGAGCUCUAACAUAGCUCGCUAAUGACGGUACCUGAAGAAGAAGCACCGGCUAACUACGUGCCAGCAGCCGCGGUAAUACGUAGGGUGCGAGCGUUAAUCGGAAUUACUGGGCGUAAAGCGUGCGCAGGCGGUUGUGUAAGACAGGUGUGAAAUCCCCGGGCUUAACCUGGGAACUGCGCUUGUGACUGCACGGCUAGAGUAUGGCAGAGGGGGGUGGAAUUCCACGUGUAGCAGUGAAAUGCGUAGAGAUGUGGAGGAACACCGAUGGCGAAGGCAGCCCCCUGGGCCAAUACUGACGCUCAUGCACGAAAGCGUGGGGAGCAAACAGGAUUAGAUACCCGUGUAGUCC
This 450-nucleotide ribosomal RNA is filed under the name uncultured bacterium. RNAcentral describes it as "bacterial SSU rRNA". It matches the Rfam family "Bacterial small subunit ribosomal RNA", at positions 354 to 796 of the family's 1533-position model. The record is from RNAcentral.